This 1488-nucleotide long non-coding RNA is filed under the name Struthio camelus australis. Its description in RNAcentral is "lncRNA (ENSSCUG00000018754.1)". Lineage: Eukaryota; Metazoa; Chordata; Aves; Struthioniformes; Struthionidae. The record is from RNAcentral.
GGAGCCCUAAGCCAUCGGACACGCUGCUUGAAGAGCUUGCUGAAAAAUGUGUCGGUAAGAUGAAAAAGCGCUCCGAGUUCCUGCCUGUGCCUGGGUCCUGACAGCGUCUGAGCUUGUGCCAGGCAGUACCCAAGCUCCCGUGCCUUCCCUCAGAAUUCGCCCACCAGCCAGGCGGCACGCCUUGCUCGCUCGCAGAGUGGGAUGCUUCUGCCUACGUCCCUUCCCUUGUCUCCCACAACGCGGAAGGGUUUGCGGGGCAUCCUCCUCAGGAGCAAAGUUUUGCUCAGAGGGCUACUUCCGCCGCACCGGCUAUAGGGCGCUGGGCCUCCCAGAACGGGAGUUCCCCACCACGGAACGCCUCUGCGGGGCAGGACCUCUUUUCCCGCUGUCCCUGGAACUCUUCCCCUUCGGGCCACAUGCCCGGACUUUGGCAGUGUCCCUUGGCAAAGCCUGUCCUUGACUCCUCUGUGCUGCCUGAGACUGACGGACCUUUUGAUUCUGGUCUGCUGAAUUAGGAUACUGUGGGGCCGAUAUUCAAGCCCUCUGCGCUGAAGCUGCCCUCUGUGCUCUCCAUCGCCACUAUCCCCACAUCUACACAAGCAGUCAGAAGCUGCAGAUCGACGUGGCUGCCGUUGAAAUCACAGCAACGGAUUUUGCGGUGGCUAUGCAGAAGACUGCACCCGCUUCACAGAGGGCCGUGGCUUCCCCUGGACAACCACUCCCACUCAUUUCCAAGCCUCUGCUUCAGAACACGCUAGAGAGGCUCCUAAAAGGCGUGCAGAGGGGAUUUCCCCAUGCAGCCCUUGCACUCCAGAAGCACCAACAGCCAGAAAACGACUGCCUGGAGAGGGAGGGCGAGUCACCUUCUGGACAACAAAAAGAAACCUUCCUUAACUUGAACAGGUAACUGCCCGCGGCCUUUUGAGUGAAAUGCUUCUGCUUGCUGGGGCUUUCCAAACUGCCUUGGCGGUUGCAAGCGGCAGGGGUGGCAGAUGAGGGAGGAAAGAAGCGUUUGUCCAGGGUGUCUGGUGUCCAAAACUGCCAGAAGCAAGCACGGCGAUAGAACUAGCUGCUACAGUGUGUGCCGGACAGGGAAAGACACCUCCACCAUCUGGGUCUUGACCGAUCGCUUUCCUUCCAAACUGCUUGUCUUGCAGCUCUUCUCCUAGCAAUGCUUGCGGCCAGCCAGCAUGUCACAGGCCCAGGUUCCUGAUAGCUGGAGAGCCCGGCUACGGGCAAACUUCUCACUUGGCGCCUGCACUAAUACACGCGCUGGAGAGGUUUGCCGUUCAUGUGCUGGACCUGCCGGCUCUCUUUGCUAGCAGCACGUCACCUGAAGAAAGAUGCACCCAGGUACCACUUCUCUCUGCAGGCUCCCAGGAUUAAUAGAUUUCUUGAGGAAACAGGUAGGUUAGGGAGCUUUUCAACUCCCAGCUUCGGCGUUGGCGGGGAGCAGUGUGUAGGCUCCCUAAUGUCCAAAGAUCACUG